This 497-nucleotide ribosomal RNA is filed under the name uncultured bacterium. Its description in RNAcentral is "partial 16S ribosomal RNA". It matches the Rfam family "Bacterial small subunit ribosomal RNA", at positions 28 to 507 of the family's 1533-position model. The record is from RNAcentral.
GAUGAACGCUGGCGGCGUGCCUAAUACAUGCAAGUCGAGCGAACAGACGAGGAGCUUGCUCCUCUGACGUUAGCGGCGGACGGGUGAGUAACACGUGGAUAACCUACCUAUAAGACUGGGAUAACUUCGGGAAACCGGAGCUAAUACCGGAUAACAUGUUGAACCGCAUGGUUUAACAGUGAAAGACGGUCUUGCUGUCACUUAUAGAUGGACCCGCGCCGCAUUAGCUAGUUGGUAAGGUAACGGCUUACCAAGGCAACGAUGCGUAGCCGACCUGAGAGGGUGAUCGGCCACACUGGAACUGAGACACGGUCCAGACUCCUACGGGAGGCAGCAGUAGGGAAUCUUCCGCAAUGGGCGAAAGCCUGACGGAGCAACGCCGCGUGAGUGAAGAAGGUCUUCGGAUCGUAAAACUCUGUUAUUAGGGAAGAACAAAUGUGUAAGUAACUAUGCACGUCUUGACGGUACCUAAUCAGAAAGCCACGGCUAACUACGUG